Molecule: ribosomal RNA, 903 nt
Filed under: uncultured bacterium
Lineage: Bacteria
Description: bacterial SSU rRNA
Rfam family: Bacterial small subunit ribosomal RNA
Source: RNAcentral
CGGACGGCUUGAUUAACACGGGACCAACCUGGCUUUGAGUGGGGGAUAACCCGGGGAAACCUGGACUAAUACCGCGUACAGCCGUUUUACCACAGGGUGAUUCGGUGAAAGCAAGCCUCUGUUUACAAGCUUGUGCUCAAAGGGGGGGUCGCGGCGUAUCAGCUUGUUGGUGAGGUAAUGGCUCACCAAGGCUAUGACGCGUAGCGGGUCUGAGAGGAUGACCCGUCACAUUGGGACUGAGAUACGGCCCAGACUCCUACGGGAGGCAGCAGUGGGGAAUAUUGCGCAAUGGUCGAAAGACUGACGCAGCGACGCCGUGUGUGGGACGAAGCCCCUCGGGGUGUAAACCACUGUCAGGAGGGAAGAACGCCGAUCGUUCGAAUAGGGCGGUCGGGUGACGGUACCUCCAGAGGAAGCGCCGGCUAACUCCGUGCCAGCAGCCGCGGUAAGACGGAGGGCGCAAGCGUUGUUCGGAAUUACUGGGCGUAAAGCGCACGCAGGCGGUCUUUUAAGUCCUCUGUGAAAACCCGGAGCUCAACUCCGGGAAUGCAGAAGAUACUGGAAGACUAGAGAACGGUAGAGGUCAGUGGAAUUCCUGGUGUAGCGGUGGAAUGCGUAGAUAUCAGGAGGAACACCGGUGGCGAAGGCGACUGACUGGGCCGUGUCUGACGCUCAUGUGCGAAAGCGUGGGGAACAAACAGGAUUAGAUACCCUGGUAGUCCACGCCGUAAACGAUGGGCACUAGAUGCUGGGUCUAUCGACAAAUUCAGUGUCGCAGCUAACGCAUUAAGUGCCCCGCCUGGGGAGUACGGCCGCAAGGCUGAAACUCAAAGGAAUUGACGGGGGCCCGCACAAGCGGUGGAGCAUGUGGUUUAAUUCGACGCAACGCGAAGAACCUUUACC